Long non-coding RNA from Arabidopsis lyrata subsp. lyrata, 896 nucleotides. RefSeq lists it as uncharacterized. The record is from RefSeq and is a predicted model, not a curated record. The transcript is spliced from 2 exons. NCBI's taxonomy places the organism in Eukaryota, Viridiplantae, Streptophyta, Magnoliopsida, Brassicales, Brassicaceae.
UGGGCGUUCGGCAGAAACCGAUCAAACCGAACCGAGAAACCCAAAAUUUUCGGUUAUCGGCGUCGACUAUGUGAUGAGGAGUAAACCGAUCGGCAAAGUUUUUUUUGGAUUUCGGGUAACGGUUCGGUUCGGUUCGGCAGGCUAUAACCGAUCGGUUAUUCGGUUUUUGUUCUACAUCACUCCAUCUUCUUCUUUCCUAGUCUGCUUCUGUGUGUUCUUAUGAAGAAGAAGAAGUUGCGGCCGCCAUGAUUAAUCCCUCACCAUCGAUUAGGUUCUUUACUUUGUUUGAAAUUGGGCUGAUUUACAUGUGGAUUCAAAUUAUUUUAUAUUAAGCCCAAACAAAUGUGUUAGCCUUGAUAAGUCAAAAAUAAAAGACAUGUGGCCCAAUAAUGUUUUAUACUCAGCCCAAAACGACAUAAAGUCAUUUUUUAUGCUUAACCCUAGAUAAAAAAAAUAUGAUUGCUUCUCUUCAACCUCCGUGCAUCUCUCUCUCGCCAGUUCUUUCUCUCCUCUUCAAAAUUCGAAACAAAACAUCGAAUAAUCAUAUCAUCUCGUCUCUUCGCCGGUUCUACCUCUUGAUCUUUUCCAGCUUGUACUUCUUCGUCCGCUAGAUUACAAUAUUGUCGGAAGUCUCAUCGGACGAGGAGAUCCAACAGUCGCCGUUGCCAUUGACGUCUCCUCGCAGCCUCGCCGUCAGCCACUUCAUGGAAAACCCUAAUUGUAAUGGGUUUGGGCUUUAAUCCAUAGUUAUGUGAUGAGUUUGGUUUUGUAAUUGUAAUUGGUUUUUUUUAUUGGUUUGUUACUAGAUUACAGAUUUUUUUGGGCCCAUUAUCUGUAUUUAGGGCUAAUUCGGUUUAAAUAAACCGAAAUAGAAAAAAAAUCGGUUUAAUUCGGAA